Non-coding RNA from Oncorhynchus mykiss (rainbow trout), 255 nucleotides. Lineage: Eukaryota; Metazoa; Chordata; Actinopteri; Salmoniformes; Salmonidae. The record is from RefSeq and is a predicted model, not a curated record.
UUCCAUUACCUGAUGAUGCAGUGACAUACAGCACUGUGGUCACCAAGAACAAGACCCAACCAAAUGCAGCAGAACCAGAUGAUGUGGUCUACAGCACAGUGGCCCAACACCAGAGAUAGCAGGGAGUAGCAGCAGAGCAGUGACAGCAUUAAAUCCUUGGUCCCAAAGAACCAGACAAUCUCUUUAUGGGGGAAAAUACUGGAGGAUCUCAGUGUACUAAGGCAUCAGAAGAAAUGUGUCCAGAUUGACAGUAAA